UGGGAUGACGUCAAGUCAGCAUGGCCUUUAUAUCUUGGGCGUACACACACGCUACAAUGGUCUGUACAAUAGGUUGCCAAGCCGCGAGGCGGAGCCAAUCCUAAAAGCAAGGCCUCAGUUCAGAUUGCAGUCUGCAACCCGACUGCAUGAAGAUGGAGUUGCUAGUAACCGCAGGUCAGCUAUACUCGCGGUCGAAUACGUUCCGGCCUU
RNAcentral lists this ribosomal RNA (210 nucleotides) under uncultured Anaerolineaceae bacterium. RNAcentral describes it as "partial 16S ribosomal RNA". It matches the Rfam family "Bacterial small subunit ribosomal RNA", at positions 1175 to 1374 of the family's 1533-position model. The record is from RNAcentral. Lineage: Bacteria; Bacillati; Chloroflexota; Anaerolineae; Anaerolineales; Anaerolineaceae.